AUCCAGCUCAGGAGUCCUAAAUAAAACGAAACGCGCAUCCUGGAU
This 45-nucleotide non-coding RNA is filed under the name Schistosoma haematobium. Lineage: Eukaryota; Metazoa; Platyhelminthes; Trematoda; Strigeidida; Schistosomatidae. The record is from RNAcentral.